CCUACGGGUGGCUGCAGUCGAGAAUCAUUCACAAUGGGGGAAACCCUGAUGGUGCGACGCCGCGUGGGGGAAUGAAGGUCUUCGGAUUGUAAACCCCUGUCAUGUGGGAGCAAAUUAAAAAGAUAGUACCACAAGAGGAAGAGACGGCUAACUCUGUGCCAGCAGCCGCGGUAAUACAGAGGUCUCAAGCGUUGUUCGGAAUCACUGGGCGUAAAGCGUGCGUAGGCUGUUUCGUAAGUCGUGUGUGAAGGGCGCGGGCUCAACCCGCGGACGGCACAUGAUACUGCGAGACUAGAGUAAGGGAGGGGGAACCGGAAUUCUCGGUGUAGCAGUGAAAUGCGUAGAUAUCGAGAGGAACACUCGUGGCGAAGGCGGGUUCCUGGACAUUAACUGACGCUGAGGCACGAAGGCCAGGGGAGCGAAAGGGAUUAGAUACCCGGGUAGUC
This 446-nucleotide ribosomal RNA is filed under the name uncultured bacterium. RNAcentral describes it as "partial 16S ribosomal RNA". It matches the Rfam family "Bacterial small subunit ribosomal RNA", at positions 338 to 795 of the family's 1533-position model. The record is from RNAcentral.